Molecule: non-coding RNA, 690 nt
Organism: Misgurnus anguillicaudatus (oriental weatherfish)
Lineage: Eukaryota; Metazoa; Chordata; Actinopteri; Cypriniformes; Cobitidae
Source: RefSeq, a predicted model, not a curated record
AACAUUCAUUAUUGAUAUACAAAAUCCAGUUACAACUCCGAACCGCUAGAUGGCAGCUGCAGUACACAAACACGAGGCCAAAUCUGGCGAGAAAGAUUUCCGGUGUUUGAAAAUCAACAACACCGACCAGCGAGCAGCCAAGGGGAAAGCAAUCUUCCACACUCGUUUGGUCUUGUGUCAAAGCUGUGUGAAACUGGAGGGAGAAACUUGAGAGACCAUGCCGGAAGAAUGCUGGACAGAGUUCCAUAAAAUUCAUUAAUUUCAAAGUUCAACAUGAAUGGUGGUGGUCCACUGCAGAAGCAAGCAUUUGAAAAAACAUCAGUUCUCAGUUAUUAAAGAUGCUGUGUUGAACAACUUCCCAGCAGCAACAGAACUGGAAGUGAAGGAUGCAAUGGGGGCAUUUCAAACAGGCACCGGGGGGGGGGGGGGGGUAUAGAAAUUAGUACAAUUAAUAAGUUGAAGUGAACUGAAGAUAAGUUUGUUAAUGUUUAGAUGUUAUUUCAUUUUUAAAAUUUUAUUUUGUUAUUUAUGCUUUUAUUUUGUUACUGUUUUUAUUCUUUUUGUUAAAAGUAGUUUUUCAUUUUGUCUUAUCUGAAUUUCUAUUGUAUUAACAAUAUUUCUUGUAAUAAAUUGCAUGAUUACAUGUUUAUGAGAACCUUUUUUAAUGGAUUAAAAAUAAUUCUUUAGCCA